RNAcentral lists this transfer RNA (76 nucleotides) under Podarcis lilfordi (Lilford's wall lizard). RNAcentral describes it as "tRNA.Lys". The stretch from base 10 to 69 matches the Rfam family "tRNA", at positions 7 to 64 of the family's 71-position model. From Rfam's summary of the family: Transfer RNA (tRNA) molecules are approximately 80 nucleotides in length. Their secondary structure includes four short double-helical elements and three loops (D, anti-codon, and T loops). Further hydrogen bonds mediate the characteristic L-shaped molecular structure. tRNAs have two regions of fundamental functional importance: the anti-codon, which is responsible for specific mRNA codon recognition, and the 3' end, to which the tRNAs corresponding amino acid is attached (by aminoacyl-tRNA synthetases). tRNAs cope with the degeneracy of the genetic code in two manners: having more than one tRNA (with a specific anti-codon) for a particular amino acid; and 'wobble' base-pairing, i.e. permitting non-standard base-pairing at the 3rd anti-codon position. The record is from RNAcentral. Lineage: Eukaryota; Metazoa; Chordata; Lepidosauria; Squamata; Lacertidae.
ACUUCUGGGAUAGCUCAGUUGGUACAGCAGGAGACUCUUAAUCUCAGGGUUGUGAGUUUGAGCCUCACUUUGGGCA